This 279-nucleotide ribosomal RNA is filed under the name uncultured soil bacterium. RNAcentral's name for it is "partial 16S ribosomal RNA". It matches the Rfam family "Bacterial small subunit ribosomal RNA", at positions 26 to 305 of the family's 1533-position model. The record is from RNAcentral.
AGAUUGAACGCUGGCGGCAGGCCUAACACAUGCAAGUCGAGCGGCAGCACGGGUACUUGUACCUGGUGGCGAGCGGCGGACGGGUGAGUAAUGCCUAGGAAUCUGCCUGGUAGUGGGGGAUAACGCUCGGAAACGGACGCUAAUACCGCAUACGUCCUACGGGAGAAAGCAGGGGACCUUCGGGCCUUGCGCUAUCAGAUGAGCCUAGGUCGGAUUAGCUAGUUGGUGAGGUAAUGGCUCACCAAGGCGACGAUCCGUAACUGGUCUGGAGAGAUGAUC